RNAcentral lists this ribosomal RNA (265 nucleotides) under uncultured bacterium. RNAcentral describes it as "partial 16S ribosomal RNA". It matches the Rfam family "Bacterial small subunit ribosomal RNA", at positions 793 to 1055 of the family's 1533-position model. The record is from RNAcentral.
GUCCACGCCGUAAACGAUGAGUGCUAGACGUUGGGAAGCCUAGCUUUUCAGUGUCGCAGCUAACGCAUUAAGCACUCCGCCUGGGGAGUACGGCCGCAAGGUUGAAACUCAAAGGAAUUGACGGGGGCCCGCACAAGCGGUGGAGCAUGUGGUUCAAUUCGACGCAACGCGAAGAACCUUACCAACCCUUGACAUGCCAGGACGGUUUCCAGAGAUUGACUCCUUCUCGCAAGAGACCUGGACACAGGUGCUGCAUGGCUGUCGU